Molecule: ribosomal RNA, 468 nt
Filed under: uncultured bacterium
Lineage: Bacteria
Description: partial 16S ribosomal RNA
Rfam family: Bacterial small subunit ribosomal RNA
Source: RNAcentral
GACGAACGCUGGCGGCGUGCUUAACACAUGCAAGUCGAACGGAAAGGCCCUGCUUUUGUGGGGUGCUCGAGUGGCGAACGGGUGAGUAACACGUGAGUAACCUGCCCUUGACUUUGGGAUAACUUCAGGAAACUGGGGCUAAUACCGGAUAGGAGCUCCUGCUGCAUGGUGGGGGUUGGAAAGUUUCGGCGGUUGGGGAUGGACUCGCGGCUUAUCCGCUUGUUGGUGGGGUAGUGGCUUACCAAGGCUUUGACGGGUAGCCGGCCUGAGAGGGUGACCGGCCACAUUGGGACUGAGAUACGGCCCAGACUCCUACGGGAGGCAGCAGUGGGAAAUAUUGCACAAUGGGCGGAAGCCUGAUGCAGCAACGCCGCGUGCGGGAUGACGGCCUUCGGGUUGUAAACCGCUUUCGCCUGUGACGAAGCGUGAGUGACGGUAAUGGGUAAAGAAGCACCGGCUAACUACGUG